UUUCGCAAUGCCCGAAAGGGUGACGAAGCGACGCCGCGUGGGUGAGGAAGGCCCUCGGGUUGUAAAGCCCUGUCAGGAGUUAAGAAAUGUAAGUGCGCUAAUACCGCAUUUAUUUGACGAAGGCUCCAAAGGAAGUCACGGCUAACUCUGUGCCAGCAGCCGCGGUAAUACAGAGGUGGCAAGCGUUGUUCGGAAUUAUUGGGCGUAAAGAGCACGUAGGUGGGUUUGUAAGUCAGAUGUGAAAGCCUUCUGUUCAACGGAAGAAUUGCAUCUGAAACUACGAGUCUUGAGUGUAGGAGGGGAGAAUGGAACUUCUGGUGGAGCGGUGAAAUGCGUAGAUAUCAGAAGGAACGCCGGCGGCGAAAGCGAUUCUCUGGCCCAUUACUGACACUCAGUGUGCGAAAGCUAGGGGAGCAAACGGGAUUAGAUACCCCGGUAGUCCUAGCCGUAAACGAUGGGCACUAAGUAGAGGGGUUUU
Molecule: ribosomal RNA, 478 nt
Filed under: uncultured bacterium
Lineage: Bacteria
Description: bacterial SSU rRNA
Rfam family: Bacterial small subunit ribosomal RNA
Source: RNAcentral